RNAcentral lists this ribosomal RNA (648 nucleotides) under Salmonella enterica subsp. enterica serovar Bareilly. Its description in RNAcentral is "partial 23S ribosomal RNA". It matches the Rfam family "Bacterial large subunit ribosomal RNA", at positions 1086 to 1735 of the family's 2925-position model. Lineage: Bacteria; Pseudomonadati; Pseudomonadota; Gammaproteobacteria; Enterobacterales; Enterobacteriaceae. The record is from RNAcentral.
CAGACAGCCAGGAUGUUGGCUUAGAAGCAGCCAUCAUUUAAAGAAAGCGUAAUAGCUCACUGGUCGAGUCGGCCUGCGCGGAAGAUGUAACGGGGCUAAACCAUGCACCGAAGCUGCGGCAGCGACGUUUAUGCGUUGUUGGGUAGGGGAGCGUUCUGUAAGCCUGCGAAGGUGGCCUGUGAGGGUUGCUGGAGGUAUCAGAAGUGCGAAUGCUGACAUAAGUAACGAUAAAGCGGGUGAAAAGCCCGCUCGCCGGAAGACCAAGGGUUCCUGUCCAACGUUAAUCGGGGCAGGGUGAGUCGACCCCUAAGGCGAGGCCGAAAGGCGUAGUCGAUGGGAAACGGGUUAAUAUUCCCGUACUUGGUGUUACUGCGAAGGGGGGACGGAGAAGGCUAUGUUGGCCGGGCGACGGUUGUCCCGGUUUAAGCGUGUAGGCUGGUUUUCCAGGCAAAUCCGGAAAAUCAAGGCUGAGGCGUGACGACGAGGCACUACGGUGCUGAAGCAACAAAUGCCCUGCUUCCAGGAAAAGCCUCUAAGCAUCAGGUAACAUCAAAUCGUACCCCAAACCGACACAGGUGGUCAGGUAGAGAAUACCAAGGCGCUUGAGAGAACUCGGGUGAAGGAACUAGGCAAAAUGGUGCCGUAACU